This is a long non-coding RNA of Daphnia pulicaria, 333 nucleotides long. RefSeq lists it as uncharacterized. NCBI's taxonomy places the organism in Eukaryota, Metazoa, Arthropoda, Branchiopoda, Diplostraca, Daphniidae. The record is from RefSeq and is a predicted model, not a curated record. The transcript is spliced from 3 exons.
GGAGACCACAUAUGUAAGAUUACCAAGAAAACGAUCACUUAUUGUUUUGAGACUUAUAAACGUGGCUGGCACGGAAAAUAGCACGGCAAAUAAAAUUAAUAAAAACGUGGUCGUCGGGAUGUGAACUGAACUCUAGUCGUGUUUCUUUAUAGAAUCGCUUAGCUCCAUAGUUAAUACACACUUCAUAGUUCAUACUGUUCAGUAGAUUGGAAACUUGUGCCAGCCAUCAUAACCAAAGACAUUCAAGCUUGCUCGUGCUGCCAUCAGUAACAAUCUCAACAUCAGCCCUUUGAUAAACAGCAUGGUCCCGUUUGAUUGGUGACAUUCCCCUUU